This 532-nucleotide ribosomal RNA is filed under the name uncultured eukaryote. RNAcentral's name for it is "SSU rRNA". It matches the Rfam family "Eukaryotic small subunit ribosomal RNA", at positions 21 to 549 of the family's 1831-position model. The record is from RNAcentral.
UAGUCAUAUGCUUGUCUCAAAGAUUAAGCCAUGCAUGUCUAAGUACAUACUUUUGCACGGUGAAACCGCGAAUGGCUCAUUAAAUCAGUUAUGGUUUCUUAGAUCGUUUCUUUUACAUGGAUAACUGUGGUAAUUCUAGAGCUAAUACAUGCAAAAAGCUCCGACCGUAUGGGAAGAGCGCUUUUAUUAGACCAAAACCAAUGGGGUCGCAAGAUCCCUUUGUUUGGUGACUCUGGAUAACUUUGUGCUGAUCGCAUGGCCUAGAGCCGGCGACGUAUCCUUCAAGUGUCUGCCCUAUCAACUUUCGAUGGUAAGCGAUUUGCCUACCAUGGUUGUAACGGGUAACGGGGAAUCAGGGUUCGAUUCCGGAGAGGGAGCAUGAGAAAUGGCUACCACAUCUACGGAAGGCAGCAGGCGCGCAAAUUACCCACUCCUAGAACGGGCAGGUAGUGACGAAAAAUAACAAUACCGGACUCUAAGAGGCUCGGUAAUUGAAAUGAGUACAGUUUAAAACCCUUAACGAGGAUCUAUU